GCAAACUUGGUCAUUUAGAGGAAGUAAAAGUCGUAACAAGGUUUCCGUAGGUGAACCUGCGGAAGGAUCAUCACUGAUUCGUGGGGUCUGUGUUCCUGUGUGUGCUGCGUGUAUAACGCGCGCACAUAGCGAGCCGCCCCCAAACCAAUCUUGUGCACCGUUUUAUUGGUCAAAGGAUGACGUGUGGUGGUUGUGUAUGUUGGUGGGUGGGAGUGCGUGCGUGCGCGCGCGCUGCCCCCACCGACUGCACGCACCCCGUCGUUCUAAAUUUAUACAAUAAUCUCUUGGUGUUAACUUUGUCUAAUAUGCGUUACUUGAAAUAACAUAUACAACUUUUAACAAUGGAUCUCUUGGCUCUCGCAUCGAUGAAGAACGCAGC
This 379-nucleotide unclassified non-coding RNA is filed under the name uncultured fungus. Its description in RNAcentral is "partial contains small subunit ribosomal RNA, internal transcribed spacer 1, and 5.8S ribosomal RNA". The stretch from base 1 to 73 matches the Rfam family "Eukaryotic small subunit ribosomal RNA", at positions 1759 to 1831 of the family's 1831-position model. The record is from RNAcentral. Lineage: Eukaryota; Fungi.